This 68-nucleotide transfer RNA is filed under the name Pseudolebinthus lunipterus. RNAcentral's name for it is "Pseudolebinthus sp. 1 RN-2019 tRNA-Val". The record is from RNAcentral. Lineage: Eukaryota; Metazoa; Arthropoda; Insecta; Orthoptera; Gryllidae.
CAAAAUAGAGCUUGAUAGAGAGAUUUCAUUUACAUUGAAAAGGUUUUGUGCAAUUCAUAUAUUUUGAU